GCGGCAGACUGUUUGGGAAGCGGAGUCUGCAGCUGGCAGUGGCGACAGGUAGUCAGAAGUUAAGAUGAAAAGACAGCAGCAGCUCACUUUAACUGAUUUCUUUCUCAUGGGGAAGAAAAGAAAGAAAGGAAAUAGAUCAGAUGAAGUUCAGCUGGAAACUAACAGUGGUGACACUGGAGAGGGUGAUGCAGGGAGAGCUGCAGGCCAGAGUAGCUGAAGAAAUUAGCUGGAGCCUAAACAUGAAAAGGAAGGCUAAAAGGUGGGAUAUUGACAGCUUUUUUGCUAAGAAAAUUCAAAGAAGUACACAGGACGAAGAGAAUGAGGGAAAUGAAGGAGAAGGCAGUAAACUGGAGAGACCACAGAGGAUCAGAGCAGGAGAAAAGGAAAUAAGUGAAGGAGAAGAGGAAAAAGAAAAAUCA
Perca flavescens (yellow perch) is the source of this 419-nucleotide long non-coding RNA. RefSeq lists it as uncharacterized. The transcript is spliced from 3 exons. The record is from RefSeq and is a predicted model, not a curated record. Lineage: Eukaryota; Metazoa; Chordata; Actinopteri; Perciformes; Percidae.